This 2052-nucleotide long non-coding RNA is filed under the name Musa acuminata (dwarf banana). RNAcentral describes it as "long non-coding RNA (MACU_LNC000687)". Lineage: Eukaryota; Viridiplantae; Streptophyta; Magnoliopsida; Zingiberales; Musaceae. The record is from RNAcentral.
AAUCUAAUUUACUAUCAGAUUAGGCACAUUAGCCUUAUCACUUUUUGCCCAUGUAUCCUGUAAUCAAUUUCAUGUUGCAUGAGCAGGAUGCUAAUGAAGAGUCAAAAACUGUCAUAAAAGCAGCUGCUAUGAAAGGUACUACAGAUGCUUCAUCAGAUUUUCGUCUUAUCACGAAUCUAUGCACUGAAACCUAAUGUUCUACUUGUUUAGCUUCUAUUAUCUGUCACUUGGAGCAUAAUUAAGUACAUCAUGGGUGCAGAAAUCAAGCACAGGAUGGAGAAUGACAUUGAUGAAGUUUUGCGAGUUGCCCGCACCACGAAAACAAAACUUGAAGAACUAGACAGAGAUGUAUGCUGCUUUCAUUUUCCAUCACUCUGGUCUCUCACAGUUCGGAAGUCGAGCCAGUCAAGUGUCUUGCCUUCGUGAUAAAAAUACUUCAACUUUGUUUUAAGAGCAAGCAAAAGAAGAAGUCCACUAUUGCCAAACUUGUAGGAGCUUAAGAACUUGUAGUCAACUAAGCUUAGGUUCUUUUGUCAUCCCUUACACAAAUAUAUUCAAGACUUUCAUUGUCCUAUUUAAACCAACAAACUUAUCCUUUAUUUACACAAAAAUAUUCUUACUUCAACCAACCAACACAUUUUUUUUGUUUUUUAGAAGAAAAACUUUCAUAUUAAUUUCUGUUAUCAGCUACCUUCAUCUUCCCUAAUUCUCCAAUUAUUGAUUUCCCCUCAAUUUGAAUCGAACGUUGAAACAAACUUUGAGAUUUUUUUAACCUUUAGAUUAUUUUUUUUUCUAAUAAUUCAUCUACUUUCCACCAAAAUUUUCUAGACACCCUUUGCUAUCUCUUCUGUUAACACCAACAAGACAUAUUUCCAUUCAAAUUUCCGGAUCCUAAAUAAACUCUUCUGUUCGUACUUGCAUUAUUUGAAUGUACACAUAAAUUGCAUUUUAUAUUCUUCUCUAGGUUAGCUAGGCACACUCAACCCAUAGUAGAGGCCUUUAAUCUAAUAAUGUCUAUCGAGGAAGGGAAAACUUUUCUGAACUUUAUUGUCUCAAGAUCUUAUAGCUAAAUCUCAUGUGAAUUCUCUUGUUGGAUCCUCUUUAAUCCUUGUGCUUGUUCCUAAUAAUAUAUCAGGGUAGGAAAACAAAAAUUCCACAUUUACAUUCUUUAUUAGCUGAUCAUGACCUUUAAUUACCUAUUUUCUUAGAACUUGGCCAAUAGGCAGAAGCCUGGAUGCGGAAAGGGAUCAAGCACCGAUCGAUCUAGAACUGCAACUACUGUGUAAUAUUUUGGUCCAAGCUGAUUCUAGUUGUCUUUUAAUUGAUAAGUAUUUUUAUCUGAAAGCAUGUCUUACAUUCUGAAUAUGCACAGAGCAUUGAAAAAGAAGCUGAAAGAAAAGAUGAGCCAGUUCCAGGUACAAAAACAUGCUUGAUGAUUUUGCAAUUUCCCAAUAUAUGCAUAUUUUCAUUUGAUUUGUCAUGUUUGGUAAAUUAACUUCAGAAUCACUGGCAUAAAAGAUCUGUCUCAUUUCAUCAUAUGCAAAAGUCAUAACAAGAUUUCGUCAUAAGAAUAUGCCUAAUGAGGUGUAAGAUGAAUAACAAAAAAAAAUAAUGCAAGUUAUUUUCCCUCUUUUAAAGCCGAAACUAUGGUUUUUUUCCAUGCAUUUAACCUCAUCAACCAUUGAGCCUAUGAAUUCUAAAGGAAAAUAUGCAUACUCACAAAUGAUAUUCCCAUUCUCACUUCAGUUAAAGCACGUGAUGAUCAUCUUUUUCCUGCAAAAUAUAUAAUAUCUUCACUUUAAUUGGUAAAUGAUAAUCUCAUUUUCUUAUUUUCAAAUGUGUAAUGCAGACUCUAAGAGAAACGAUACAGAAAGAAUACCGUGAGGUCAUCGAGAGAAGAGUCUUCACAGGUUCCCUUCUAACUCCAUGAAACCAUUCAUUACUCUCACAGCUUAUCUCCAAUGCUUUAUUGGAUGUUAUUCUCAGUUGUUAUGGUCAUUUGUCUGAUUUAUUUUCUCUUAUUUUGUUCCUAUAUUCCAUAUGAACAGUAAC